Molecule: transfer RNA, 73 nt
Filed under: Loxodonta africana (African savanna elephant)
Lineage: Eukaryota; Metazoa; Chordata; Mammalia; Proboscidea; Elephantidae
Description: tRNA-Ile (AAT) (tRNA-Ile-AAT-15-1)
Rfam family: tRNA
About the family: Transfer RNA (tRNA) molecules are approximately 80 nucleotides in length. Their secondary structure includes four short double-helical elements and three loops (D, anti-codon, and T loops).
Source: Rfam by way of RNAcentral
GGCCGGUUAGCUCAGUUGGCUAGAGCGUGGUGCUAAUAACGCCAAGGUCGCGGGUUCAAUCCCCGUACGGCCA